ACGGGGAUGGCGAGCGUUACUCGGAUUUACUGGGUGUAAAGGACAGGCAGGCGGCUUUGCAAGUUGAAGGUUAAAUCCUCUGACUCAAUCAGAGACAUGCCUUCAAAACUACAUUGCUUGAGGAUUUGAGAGGAGAGCGGAAUUCCCGGUGGAGGGGCGAUAUCUGUAGACACCGGGAGUGAAAAGUGUGGAGGGAGCGGCUCACCGGCAAAAGACUGUCUCUGAUCUGGGAAAGCUAGUUGAGCAAACAG
This 251-nucleotide ribosomal RNA is filed under the name uncultured prokaryote. RNAcentral's name for it is "partial 16S rRNA". It matches the Rfam family "Bacterial small subunit ribosomal RNA", at positions 525 to 775 of the family's 1533-position model. The record is from RNAcentral.